RNAcentral lists this long non-coding RNA (558 nucleotides) under Triticum aestivum (bread wheat). Its description in RNAcentral is "long non-coding RNA (TAES_LNC017362)". Lineage: Eukaryota; Viridiplantae; Streptophyta; Magnoliopsida; Poales; Poaceae. The record is from RNAcentral.
AAAUAAAUAAUAACUUUAUUAUUGCCUCUAGGGCAUAUUUCCUUCAAGAUCAUCAUCAAGUUCAUUAUCUAAAGAUACUCAAGAUCAUCAUCAUCAUUUAAACAUACUCAAGUUAAACAUCUAAAGAUCAUCAUCGGCGAAACUUCAUGAACAUAGAGAUUUGCAAGACAUGGAACAUCGUCAUCUAAAGAAACUAACAAGUAGGAACAUGAAAGGUAUGGCACGACGGCCACAUGCACGGGUAUCAUCAACGACAUCAGGCAAGACCACCGCCGCCAAAACCACCACCGCCAAGACCACCACCGCCAAAACCGCCACCGCCAAGACCACCUCCGCCAAAACCGCCACCACCAAGACCAGCACCACUCUGCCAGAUCGGAGUGACUGGGAUUGACGAAGCAGGAGUCAAGCCACUGGUCCCCUACAUGUUUGAGAGAAGAUUCUAACGGUAAAUAUGAUAUGAUAGUGUUGAAUGAACAAGAACUAGUUUGUCAGUAGUUAGGCAAAUGAACUAACCGGACUAUCACUGCCUAGUGCCACCCACUCAUCGAACAUGGG